AGAGUUUGAUCCUGGCUCAGGACGAACGCUGGCGGCGCGCCUAACACAUGCAAGUCGAACGAGAGAUGAAGAGCUUGCUCUUCAAAUCGAGUGGCGAACGGGUGAGUAACGCGUGAGGAACCUGCCUCAAAGAGGGGGACAACAGUUGGAAACGACUGCUAAUACCGCAUAAGCCCACAGCUCGGCAUCGAGCAGAGGGAAAAGGAGUAAUCCGCUUUGAGAUGGCCUCGCGUCCGAUUAGCUAGUUGGUGAGGUAAUGGCCCACAAGGCGACGAUCGGUAGCCGGACUGAGAGGUUGAACGGCCACAUUGGGACUGAGACACGGCCCAGACCUCCGUACGGGAGGGA
RNAcentral lists this ribosomal RNA (348 nucleotides) under uncultured bacterium. RNAcentral's name for it is "bacterial SSU rRNA". It matches the Rfam family "Bacterial small subunit ribosomal RNA", at positions 8 to 350 of the family's 1533-position model. The record is from RNAcentral.